RNAcentral lists this ribosomal RNA (523 nucleotides) under uncultured Acidovorax sp. Its description in RNAcentral is "bacterial SSU rRNA". It matches the Rfam family "Bacterial small subunit ribosomal RNA", at positions 8 to 526 of the family's 1533-position model. Lineage: Bacteria; Pseudomonadati; Pseudomonadota; Betaproteobacteria; Burkholderiales; Comamonadaceae. The record is from RNAcentral.
AGAGUUUGAUCCUGGCUCAGAUUGAACGCUGGCGGAAUGCUUUACACAUGCAAGUCGAACGGCAGCACGGACUUCGGUCUGGUGGCGAGUGGCGAACGGGUGAGUAAUAUAUCGGAACGUGCCCAGUCGUGGGGGAUAACGUAGCGAAAGUUACGCUAAUACCGCAUACGAUCUAAGGAUGAAAGCGGGGGAUCGCAAGACCUCGCGCGAUUGGAGCGGCCGAUAUCAGAUUAGGUAGUUGGUGAGGUAAAGGCUCACCAAGCCCGCGAUCUGUAGCUGGUCUGAGAGGACGACCAGCCACACUGGAACUGAGACACGGUCCAGACUCCUACGGGAGGCAGCAGUGGGGAAUUUUGGACAAUGGACGCAAGUCUGAUCCAGCCAUUCCGCGUGCAGGAUGAAGGCCCUCGGGUUGUAAACUGCUUUUGUACAGAACGAAAAGGUCUCUCCUAAUACGAGAGGCUCAUGACGGUACUGUAAGAAUAAGCACCGGCUAACUACGUGCCAGCAGCCGCGGUAAUAC